CUCUGAAGUGAUCACUGCUUCCCUCCCACCCUCUACCUUGCUUAAACACUGCACUCUAGAAGCAAGCUGCCUCAAACAGCUAAGAAAACAGAAGUCUCCAGAAGAAACCACCCCAAGUAAAACCUCCCCUAAGCUUCAACAUGGAUUGACUGGCAGGUGAAAUUGUGAAGGGUCGAUGGCCCAGAAGAGGAUCUGUAAAAUGAGGGGGAAAAAAAUCUUCCUAUAUCUACCACUCCAAGAUAGAAAAGAAUCAUCCUCUACAUGGGAUGGAGCUGAAGAGCUGACAAAACACCACUCUUCAUUCUUAAGAGAAGGGUCAUGAAGAACAGCUUGACUCUACAGAGAGAAACAACAAUGCUUUUAAGAUUUUUCCUAGAAGUCUAAUUCGGUGCUUGCAAUAUGUGCACUACAGGAUUUCAGCAAGCAAGGGGCAUUAUAUCCAGUUAUAAUUUAGUACUGUGAUUGACAGUUUCUUUUCUUUUAAUGUUUUCCCCCCUUGUAAAGAGAUGUGUUUUGGAGGCUAUUAAAUGGUUAUCUGGUUACUUCUUGAGAAGGAUUUUGUGUUCCGGUUGCGAGGGUGGGGUGGGAUUAUCACAUUUCCUCAUUUCUGAGGAAGAUGACAUGAUGUGUCUAACAGGACACCCUCCUCAUUGGUCUUGGAUCUACUUCCACAAAGAGGAUGGAAUUUGGUGGAUUUAUACAUCUGUGAAAUCAGUGUGAGAGAAGAGUUGGGCUGAGGGCAAAUAUUUGUUGAAGCAGACUGGCAACAUGACUAUAGUAUAAAAGGUGGCCAUGCAGCUGGUGAUCUCAAUCAGGAAAUAAUUAUAUUCUAUAUCUAAAUUUCCACUGCAGUUUCAAUGGCAUGUAAUAUUUUUCUUAAUAUCCUGCUCUAAACUAUUUUGUAACAUUAUCGUGAGCUGUGAAACAACUGCCAGAUCCUGCCCCGGAGGUGAUUGUGUUUUAGUGGUGGAAAAGUGAUUCUUGCCCAUCUAAAGCAUCCACAGUGCUAUGUAAAGGUCCAAAGGUCAGGUCCUCAGCUGGUGUAAAUCAGCAUUCUUCCAUUAAAAUCUAUGGAACUGUGCCAGAAUACAUCAUCUGAGGAUCUGACUUUUAUUAUUACGAAUGGUUAGUCUCUCUCUCACACACCACACACACAAAUUGUUCCCAGAAGUGAGUCUAUAAUAGCUAUGGGUCUUUCAGUCUCUCCCUUCUUCUACAAAGCCCAAAUAUACAUGUGACAGUCUAUACUAUUAUGGUCAUCCCUUUUACAAGUCUAUGAUACAUAUUUUGUACAAAAUAUGCCUUAUUGAAGUAUCAUUUGAAAAAUCAGAAU
Trachemys scripta elegans is the source of this 1333-nucleotide long non-coding RNA. RefSeq lists it as uncharacterized. Lineage: Eukaryota; Metazoa; Chordata; Testudines; Emydidae. The transcript is spliced from 3 exons. The record is from RefSeq and is a predicted model, not a curated record.